RNAcentral lists this ribosomal RNA (165 nucleotides) under Pisolithus microcarpus. RNAcentral's name for it is "5.8S ribosomal RNA". The stretch from base 1 to 122 matches the Rfam family "5.8S ribosomal RNA", at positions 34 to 154 of the family's 154-position model. From Rfam's summary of the family: 5.8S ribosomal RNA (5.8S rRNA) is a component of the large subunit of the eukaryotic ribosome. It is transcribed by RNA polymerase I as part of the 45S precursor that also contains 18S and 28S rRNA. Functionally, it is thought that 5.8S rRNA may be involved in ribosome translocation. The record is from RNAcentral. Lineage: Eukaryota; Fungi; Basidiomycota; Agaricomycetes; Boletales; Pisolithaceae.
CGAUGAAGGACGCAGCGAAUCGCGAUAAGUAAUGUGAAUUGCAGAUUUUCCGUGAAUCAUCGAAUCUUUGAACGCACCUUGCGCUCCUUGGUAUUCCGAGGAGCAUGCCUGUUUGAGUGUCAUUGAAAAUCUCAAGCCGAGCUGUUUUGACUUUGGUUGAAAAAG